RNAcentral lists this long non-coding RNA (683 nucleotides) under Bos taurus (domestic cattle). RNAcentral's name for it is "long non-coding RNA NONBTAT022369". Lineage: Eukaryota; Metazoa; Chordata; Mammalia; Artiodactyla; Bovidae. The record is from RNAcentral.
GCAUAACUGAGAGUAAAUUUUCUGACACCAAAGAUUUGUCAGUAACGAGGGCAUUUUGAAUAGGGCUUUGUAGCUGUUUCAGUAUAAAAUUUUGUAAUAUCUUUCUUGAGGAAUUAUAGAGGAUGUAUCAUUGUUUCAAGGUUUUCUAUUUACUACUUUAAAAAUUGAAGGAACAAAAAGGUCCUUUGUACCUUCUUGAGAGUACGCCACAGAGAAUGCAAAAAUACAUAAAAAAUCCUUAGUAUUUUUUAUUAUGAUCAUUCCUUUAGAGCUAGUUUUAUUUCUAUCUGCUCUACUGUGUGCCUGCAUAGCGUAGUGCCAUCGUUUGAUACGUCAGGAAUGUUGUGUUUUGGUUGGGCCUUCUAGUAAGAUAACACAGUAGAUGAGUGAUAUUUGCUGGAUUUGGACAUCGGUGCUUUUGGCUGUGAACAGUUUUGAAGUUGUGUUUCGUGAUACAGUGAUGUGAACUUUUUCUUUGUAAAAAGAAAGCUUUUUUUGUGCUUUAUAUAAUUUAAAGAAAAAAGUUAUGAAACAGUUUGUGAUUUCUGUUCUAGAACCUAGAUAGAAAUUUAACAGUACAAAGGUCAUAAAGUGUCAUUUAAAAAUUCUCAGCUUUUGUUUAUGUGGAUUAUUUCGUUGUUCCUUUAGCUAGUUAGAAAUUAUGGCAGAAAUUUUAAACAUCU